AAGUCGAGCGCGCCCUUCGGGGUGAGCGGCGGACGGGUGAGUAACGCGUGGGAAUAUGCCCUUCUCUAAGGAAUAGCCUCUGGAAACGGAGAGUAAUACCUUAUACGCCCUUCGGGGGAAAGAUUUAUCGGAGAAGGAUUAGCCCGCGUUAGAUUAGGUAGUUGGUGGAGUAAUGGCCUACCAAGCCUACGAUCUAUAGCUGGUUUGAGAGGAUGAUCAGCCACACUGGGACUGAGACACGGCCCAGACCCCUACGGGAGGCAGCAGUAGGGAAUCUUAGACAAUGGGGGCAACCCUGAUCUAGCCAUGCCGCGUGUGUGAUGAAGGCCCUAGGGUCGUAAAGCACUUUCGCCAGAGAUGAUAAUGACAGUAUCUGGUAAAGAAACCCCGGCUAACUCCGUGCCAGCAGCCGCGGUAAUACGGAGGGGGUUAGCGUUGUUCGGAAUUACUGGGCGUAAAGCGCACGUAGGCGGGAUUAGUAAGUUAGAGGCGAAAUCCCAGGGCUCAACCCUGGAACUGCCUUUAAUACUGCUAGUCUUGAGUUCGAGAGAGGUAAGUGGGAAUUCCGAGUGUAGAGGUGAAAUUCGUAGAUAUUCGGGAGGAACACCGGGUGGGCGAAGGCGGGCUUACUGG
RNAcentral lists this ribosomal RNA (633 nucleotides) under uncultured bacterium. Its description in RNAcentral is "bacterial SSU rRNA". It matches the Rfam family "Bacterial small subunit ribosomal RNA", at positions 59 to 732 of the family's 1533-position model. The record is from RNAcentral.